This 23-nucleotide non-coding RNA is filed under the name Drosophila melanogaster (fruit fly). Lineage: Eukaryota; Metazoa; Arthropoda; Insecta; Diptera; Drosophilidae. The record is from RNAcentral.
UCAAGAUCAAGAAUGAUGAAAGC